Oncorhynchus kisutch (coho salmon) is the source of this 1357-nucleotide long non-coding RNA. RefSeq lists it as uncharacterized. The transcript is spliced from 3 exons. The record is from RefSeq and is a predicted model, not a curated record. Lineage: Eukaryota; Metazoa; Chordata; Actinopteri; Salmoniformes; Salmonidae.
GUUGGAGAAGACCGCUCGCGACCAGGACCUCUUCCUUUUGUAUGUCUGUGGUAUCGUGUCUUUUGUGAGGACAGCAUACGGACCUGUAUAAAUAAAGGGACAUAAAGGUCCCUAUGUAGCCUAUGUGCUGACGGCUACACUACCUGGGAAGGUGUCCUGAAACUGAUGCUGCCCUGAUUGCCUGGCGCCGUUUAGUGAGCUCAUCGUGGAGGACGUGUCGCUCAUCGCUGGGUCUAUGGAUGCGAAGUACUGGUUCGCCGAGGGCUGCACGGGCAUGUGGAUCCCUGACUGACGAUUCGAGCUAACAAUGGACGUGAGAUCUGUCACAGGGCGAGAGAUAAAUAAUGUCCUGGCAGGCAUCCCAUGAGGCGGAGAAGAUUCGAGGAACAGUGCGCACUCUGUGUAAUGACGCCCAUGUGACCGAUGGCCCAGGUCACUUGGCAACCCCGCGGGCCAAAAAAAAACUCAAGUUAUAGGCUCUCUUUAAGUAUUGUCUGCGACUGUGUGCUAGAGUGAACCAUUUUGCAUGUAUUUAGCGCAACCCUUCACCAUCGAGGUAAAGCAGAGCCUCUAAGGGCCGAGGAGAUAGAUCGGUACCAAUGUCACACACUGUAAAAUUGUUGUAAUUACAAUCCGAUGUGGAAACAAUUGCGAGGGGUUAGCACCUGUACUUCCCAGAUUUGGCCUACUAGAGCUGAAUAACGUUCAAUAGGCCUAGAACAUUACACAGCCUUAUUUUAACUUCUGAAAAUGAUUGUUAUAGUCUACAUCAGCCAUAAUGUUCUCUACCUGAUUUAUGGCCGUUAACAAAACAAUUAAAUCAAGGUUAUGAUCGGGCGUGUUCUUGCAGAGCGACAUUUCACACUCCAAGUAUCAUCUUGAUGGAUUCCAGUUUUGUCAACGCUCCAGAGCUGUCCAAACAGACCGUGUUUUAUUACCUCUCCCUGAAAGUACAGCUGUCAAAAUUACGAAUGUAUAGGACUUGUCAUUAAACCAGAAACAUCGUCUUAGCAAUGCCAAAAUGAGACAAUAACAUACAUUGAACAGUCAUAAUGGUUAUUAUAUUUAAUUUCCGAAUCUUCAUCGCGAAUCUGGGUAGUAAUGUGGGAAUACUAUGCGUGAAGAUCUAUUUCAAUGCCUUGUAAUUGAGUUGAUUUGACAUAAAUCAAAAUGUACAGCAUCGAAUAUAUAAAGUAGCCUAACAAAAAUAUGAAUACUCUUAUUCAUUUUGAGAGCAAGACAAAUUCACAUUUUUGUUAUAGGCCCCAGGCCUAUAUAUUAUCCUAACGUUUUGUAAAUAUCAUAUCCAUCUUUGGGUGGCAAUAAUGAUUUCUCUAAUAAAUCCCUAUUCCUUUUC